AUGUCUAGGCUUCCACUGGCAGGAGUUAGGACUUCCAAUUUCGAGCCUAGAGAGCUUCCAUCAAACAGCUACCUGAAUCUGGGCGGGCCUUAUGGAAAAUUUGUGCCUUUCAUAAUCGCGGGAGAAGGGGGCUUUGGGGAGCAUAAGCAGCUCAACUGGACAAACUUGUUUUUACUGAACAAGCUUGGCAGUGACAUAGACAGGGAUCAUCAAGAGGUGAUCGAUCAGAUAAAGGCAGAGAAAGAUGUUGAAAAGAUAAAAGAGUUGAUAGAGCGACUGCCUCGUGAAAUUGCUGAGCACUUGGAAGGCCAUGAGACCCAUGAACAGGUUGAAAUCCUGGCAGAUCUGAGCAGGAACAUGGAUCAGAAGAUGUCUUAUCUCAGCAGAGAGAUCCGGCAUCUAAGGAGUGACCUGGGACAGAUGAUGCAAGGUAUCGGAGAGAUACGCGAAGCAUUGGCUAGGAUGGAGCGCCAGAAUCCUUGCUUCCGUCCAUGA
RNAcentral lists this ribosomal RNA (495 nucleotides) under Triticum aestivum (bread wheat). Its description in RNAcentral is "partial small subunit ribosomal RNA". The record is from RNAcentral. Lineage: Eukaryota; Viridiplantae; Streptophyta; Magnoliopsida; Poales; Poaceae.